Dermacentor silvarum is the source of this 1015-nucleotide RNA transcript. RefSeq lists it as uncharacterized. The record is from RefSeq and is a predicted model, not a curated record. NCBI's taxonomy places the organism in Eukaryota, Metazoa, Arthropoda, Arachnida, Ixodida, Ixodidae. The transcript is spliced from 4 exons.
ACGUGAAUUUGUACCUGAUGGCCUCUUUUCUUUUUAGCCAUCACAGACGACUUCCUAGUGUCAAUCAGUGUUUUUGCUGUUGUGUAAAAAGUAUUCCCGAGUUAAAGUGCUAUCUCGUCUCCUAUCCACGAAAGGACUUUGCUGCCACUCGGUGGUUCUGCUUUUUCUCAGCGGCAUGUGCUAACAAGGUGGUGUGAAAACUGUCAAAUGAACAUAACCUUUCAGACGACAGUUGGGGUGGUUUCGCAAACGGUCGCGACGACGCACUGAAAUGGAGUCUGCUGGUGGCGCCAUGUCACGGCUGGCAAGUGCUGCUGGGGUUGCAUCGCGUCACGCAAAUGGUGCGAAAACGACGAUGGCACACAGACACACCGACACACACGUGACUAAUGGCAAAGAUUCAGGCGCAUGUAGGCAAAGACUGGCAACGUGCGACUACAGGAACAACCAGCAUAUUUUCAUUUGCUUACGGUCAUAUCUCAUUAUACCUUAUAUUAUUUGCCUGUAGUUCCAUUAAUCGACGCAGUAAAGUCGCAAGCUAUGUAGUCUGCGUUAUUUACUAAUGUGAACUCAGCUGCGGGUCAGCGUGGUCUCUCUUGCUCUGCCCUAUCUUUUCGCGUUUGUUAUUUCAAGUAUACGAACGUAUGAAAGGAAUAAGUUGUCGUCAACCCGAUUUUAACACGAACCCACAAAGAGAACCUGUACCGGUUUCGCGGAAAGAAAGCUUUGCAGUUGAGGAAAAACUCGUCCUGGUCCGGGAUGCGAACCCGGGACCAAUGCCUUUGCGGGGUGGUCGCUCUGCUACCAUCUGAGCUAACCAAGAGGCUUGCAGAUCUGAGCGCGAGGGCGAAUUAAUCGACAACUCGGGGUAAAGGGACACUAAAACUUGGACACUGAAACCGCUGAAGUCAUUUGCCAUACACCAACAUAUGUGCAUCGUUUGUCUUCUCGGAGACCAUGCACAGUACGUGUAAAUUACGGUGUAUGCAAUCGAACUUGCACCUGUUGCAUGCAA